UUUGAAACAAUGUGGUAGAAAGCAACGUACAACUUGAAGGACACGAUCCGUUGUGGAUUUGUACAUCCACCAUUUUUUGUAGGAAUGAAGGUGCUCUUAACUCGACAUCAUUGGUUAUGUUUCACUAGAACCCCUCGUUUUUUUGUUGUCUUGGAAUGUAAAUAGUCCAUGAUGGAGCUCGAGUAGAAAGUAUUAAUUUCUUUCUUGGGGCAAGGGUCUAGGGUUAAUGCCAAUCAAUAAAAGAAUUGAAACAACUUCGUAAAUAAAUCUAAUAUAUCUUAGGAUUGGAAAUCGAAAGAAUCCAAUUCGAGCAAGUUUCAAAUUAAAAAAUUUAUUGGAAUUGAUCAAACUUUUU
Molecule: long non-coding RNA, 355 nt
Filed under: Solanum melongena (eggplant)
Lineage: Eukaryota; Viridiplantae; Streptophyta; Magnoliopsida; Solanales; Solanaceae
Description: long non-coding RNA (SMEL_LNC000113)
Source: RNAcentral